CGGUACGUACUGGCAUUGUUGGUUUCUCCCUUCUGACGAACCAUGAUGUCAUUUAUUUGGUGUUGUGGGGAAUCAGGACUGUUACUUUGAAAAAAUUAGAGUGUUUAAAGCAGGCUCACGCUUGAAUACAUUAGCAUGGAAUAAUGAAAUAGGACGUUUGAUUCUAUUUUGUUGGUUUCUAGGAUCGACGUAAUGAUUAAUAGGGAUAGUUGGGGGCAUUAGUAUUCAAUUGUCAGAGGUGAAAUUCUUGGAUUUAUUGAAGACUAACUACUGCGAAAGCAUUUGCCAAGGAUGUUUUCAUUAAUCAAGAACGAAAGUUAGGGGAUCGAAGACGAUCAGAUACCGUCGUAGUCUUAACCAUAAACUAUGCCGACUAGGGAUCGGAUGAUGUUAAUUUUUUAAUGACUCAUUCGGCGCCUUACG
RNAcentral lists this ribosomal RNA (423 nucleotides) under uncultured Glomeromycotina. RNAcentral's name for it is "SSU rRNA". It matches the Rfam family "Eukaryotic small subunit ribosomal RNA", at positions 671 to 1092 of the family's 1831-position model. Lineage: Eukaryota; Fungi; Glomeromycota. The record is from RNAcentral.